Zootermopsis nevadensis is the source of this 4619-nucleotide non-coding RNA. The record is from RefSeq and is a predicted model, not a curated record. Lineage: Eukaryota; Metazoa; Arthropoda; Insecta; Blattodea; Termopsidae.
UCAAUCAAAGCCACUGACAGACGGACCUAACAUCCGAGCGGAGGAUGGGACCGAAUGGAAGAGGAGAAUUGAGGAGGCCAUGGACCGAAUACGGACCGGAUUGACAUAGAAGAAGAAGAAGUUUUCACAUCCUUCUUUCAUAGCUAUCUGUCAGAACCUAAAGAACCUUUUGAUACUCAAUAAGGAGGCCUGCUAUGCCAUAACAAACAGAGGCAUAUCAGAACUUUGUCUUCUCCAGAGUGCACCACCAGAACCAACCAGACCACUAAAAUGGCCCCUUUCAGGUCCCCGAUCACAUUCAACUGAACCCCCCGAUGUCCCACCGGAUGUACUUCCCGAGCCCCCCCUCUCUCUCUUUCCUUUUUCUCCCACUCUCACACUUGCCCACGCGCUCCUAUUGGUCCACUCCCAUGCGUGCUCCCAUUGGCUCGGGGCAGGCUACUCCAUUCACAUUCUGGCACCCAUAAACCUAACUCCACACACACUAUUGGAAUAUUCAUUGCCCUGAUGACGGAGGCAGUAUGACCUCAGAAAUGUUGGUAAACAUUGACCAGACUACACAGCGCAACAACCCAGAAGACAAAAAUCUUAGGUUUCUCAAUUGUUAAAUUGAAAGGUAUGCACAAUAUGUUAAUAUUUAAAUACAGACGUUUGUUUGAUCGUAUAAUUUAAGGAUAUCAUUAGAUAAACUGAUUCAUUGUAAUCUAUUUAUUUUUCCCUUCAGGUUUGCAAGAACUAGAUUUGCGUGACUCCCGGGGAAUCACAGAUGUCAGCCUUAAGUAUGCCUUUAGUUUUCUUGAACUUCGACAUUUAAGUCUGAGUUUCUGCCGGCAGGUAACAGAUGCAGGCAUCGCAGAUCUGGCAUCAAAGAACCCAAGCAUUGAAACCCUUAAAAUGAACUGUUGUCACAGAAUCACAGACAGUGGCAUUAUUGAACUUGUGAAGCAUUUGUCAAGACUGAAACAUCUUGAAUUGUGGGUGUAUGUCACUUUAUAUCAAGCAAGUUAACUUGGCACAUAACACAUGUUGAUAAAGUUAAUAAACAAGAACCCAGGGAUGCUCCGAGCUGACAGAUGCAAGCCUUACAGCAAUUAGACAGAGAUGUAGCAAACUGAAGUUCCUGAAUAUAAACGACUGCACUGGCAUGUCUCUAGAAGGGUCAGAACGUUUGAAAUUAUGCCUGCACUCCCUGCACGGACUACACAGGCGGAACCUGCUUUGAAGAAAUUUAAUAAAUGUAGUGUAAAUGAACCUCCACCUCCACCAGUGAAGUUCUGCUCUUUAUUGUGACACUAGUAACCGCAUUUAUUUGGUGAAAAUGAAAAUUUGUCAGUGAAAUAUAAAUGUUUUUCUAGUGCUAUUUUGAUGGCAAAGAUAAUGACCAAUAGAGAGAGCUUACAGCUUAAUGAUUCAUGAUGAAAGUUUUUGAUUUUACAACAUUUACAAAACUUUGUUUGAGGUUGGAUUAAUGGUGUUGAAGUAUGGACUGGAAACAUCUGGUUCGGGACGCAGUCCGGUGAUGGGCUCUUGUGAAAACAAUAAUGAAUGGUGGAGUUCUGUGAGAAAAAGGGAAUUUACUAUCAGGAUUACAAUAAGCUUUACAGUAAGGACUCUGUUUCACGGAGUUGGUCAGAAAUGAGAAAUAAGAAGGCAUGUCAAAUCGCUACAUUGGGUCCAACCAGUCUUAAACCCUGGAUUUUUGGCUCAAGAAUCAGCACCUUAUCCCUACUUUUCCAGGUCACCCAUUUUAAGAGUGAGAACUGCUUGUAUAUCUAUGUCAAUGCCAUUAUGUACCAUUCUGGAUAACAUACAAACUAGUCUUAUGUAAUGAAUUUCAGAUUGCGGUCUCUGAUAUCCCACCAUCAAACUCUAAUGCAUGGCUGAUUUCUUGGGGCUUCAUCUAAAAGACUGUCUUACAUUUUUCAUACAUCAGACCUGUCAGUGAAUUUCCAUCUUAAAACAUUACCAGUUUCCUUAAACUGGUAAUACCAAAUUUCAAAAAGAAAUUGUUUUAUGAGUUGACGGGUUUCUACCGUAUCCAGGUGAAAUCUUACAUUGCAUUGUCAUAAAUUAUUUGUUUAAAGCAAACCAGAAGAAACGCUGCUUCAUCUUGAACUGUUCCCAUUGCACUGAGGCAGAAAGUGGCGUGAGCUUAGAUUUAAGAAGCAGACUCUAGUUUUCACACCAACAAGAUAGAAACUAAACUGAGAUUUUCUUGACUUCACAACAAAAAUAAAACUUUUUAUUACAUGGGUAUAUUUUCACAGUGCUUACCUCAAGUAUCAGCCAUGUAAUAGGGAUCAGGAUACACGUGAGUGAGAAACACAGCCUCUAAGUUUUGCUGAACAUCAUUAUUUCUCUCUUCCUUGCAGGUUUAUCUUUCGUAAAUCUAAGACAUGGGGCAAAGGAUGUUGUGCUAUGGAUUUUUAUCACCCUCGACCGGGUUUGAACCCGUGAACUGUGGGUCCAGGUCCAGUGGAAAGGACACUAACCACUAGGCCACGGACCACCGACGGUAACGUCUUAAUAUCUGAGGGAGGCCAGCCACGACAUAUGCCGAGAUCUACGGCAGUGUUUGGUGGGCGGGCGGAAUCGGUGCCAUGCAUGGGACGCCAGGUUUGCAACAGGCACAUGACACCCGUGAGUCAGGCGGCAUAGUCCGUCGAAAGUACCAGCCAGUGUGGGGUCUGCAGCCGACAUACAGCAGAAUGAGUACUGUCCGCCCGCUCAGGAUUAUAUCAAAACAAAUGGUGAACCAACGUUUCAACAAGCGGUGUUAGACAAAAGAAAUGUUAUGAAUGGUUUUGUUAUUUUUUCCAGCAGACUUUUCAAGGAAAAUAAGCUACUUUUAAACAUUUUUAAUGUAUGUUAAACGUGUUGAAUAAUUUUUUUUUUAUAAAAAUGGGAUGUUUAUUUGUAAUGAAAACCCAAAGUGAACAUUGAGUCAUCAUUACAGCUACCAAGUGUUGCACUUCCGGUUUGACGCUUCUUGUCUGUCAACUGUUUCCUUGUGUACAUUUAUUCAGUUUUAUGAGAGAAAGCCAGUUCAAAAAUGUGCUUCCAAAUAUAUCUUUUUCGAUCGGCUGCCCCCUGCCACAGAUUCGGAUAUUUGUCUUUAGGAAGAAGCCACAAUCACAUUUUUAGAUAUGGGCCUAGAUCAAUCCGUAUAAACUGCAGAAUGGGUUCAGCAUCUUGUUUCGAUGCUCCUGAAUGCCUAUCAGAUAUUCUGAAAUGUAGAGAACAAUGCUCUGCUCAAACGGAAGUGUACCCACGCAGACAAUUGCAGAGUAAUUACCCCCACACAUUCAUACUAGAAAUAUUUUUAAAAAUGGUUUAUAGAUACAAAGGAAGAAAAUACUGCAGUUAAGCCUGAAAUUUAUAGACUGACUAGCUUCAAAACAAUGAGAACGUUUCUCCUCUAGCAACAAAAGUUUUCAGUACUGGAGAAAUAUAAUAUAAUAUGACAUAAACCAAACCAUAACCUAACCUCAAUGAACUAAAACUGUUUACUCAAUGAGCACUACAAAGUCUAUGUGAGACAUAUUUUCAUUUGGUAAAUACAGAAAGAAAUUGCCUCAAUGCUUGGAGGCCCGCAGUUCUUCUAUUAGCGGUAUCUGUCUCACUUGACGAGAUUCCAGAGACUGUCCUAGCAUGAUUUCACCUUUCAAAAAUUCCUUUACAAACAUACUUUUUCACAUUUACAACUGUGUACUGCUGGAAGUGUAACAAAGGACUGUGUUUUGUAAAUUGUUUUCAGCCUUUUCAUCCCCCCCCCCAAAAAAAAAACUAUGAGGAAUAACUGCUGUAAGCCAGUGAGAGACCAGCAGGUCAAGUGAUGAAAUUUGUAAGUUAAGUUUUUUCAUAGGAGCAGUGGAAGAGUGACAAAACUUUCAACAUUUACAGCAAUGAACUCCCUGGAAACCAAAUGUGGCAGCUAAUGAACUAGCCAUGAAGUGAUGAGUCUUAUGCCAUGUAGUCUGGUAGAACUUGUCAAUGUUUCACAGGUCCUUGCAGCCUCCAACAUGAGGGUGAUGAGGCCAAAUUUCCCAGAUGAUGAAAGUAACCAGGACCUCUGCUGAUUAUGGUUCCUCCGUUAUGAUCUGCCCCUGUCAAUAAGGCUAACAGCUUUCCUAGUGACACCCAAAAUGAAGCCUUUCAGUUCAUCAGUCGCAUAAUUCUGUAGAUAUCAGCAACUGAGUAGCCAUACCUAAAUAAUUUGGCUGAAUGUUUUUCUGGCCCUGUGAUAAUCCACCAACCAACAAAAGGCACGACAUGCAUCUCUGAGUUCCUACAGUUACAUGUCCUGACCCAGAGUCACAUUCACUGUAAAUCUUAGCUGAGGACUCUCUGCUGUACUGGUAAAUGCGUUUACCACAUUCUUCAUUUCAGGGUGAUCAGGUGCCAUGCCAAAGAGUAGAGGACCAAACUGGACUGGCAUCAACUUCCGCAUGUGGAAGAGUCUGCAAGACAAGAUGACAAAUCAACAUUCCCACACCCUAUAAAGCAAUAAUAUGACAGAUUAACAGAAUAAUCAACUAAAAUUUACUUAAGUCCAUUCAGUUCCAAUGGUUAUAUGUAAAGCUCUAAUGACUAAAUAAACAAAAUAUCAGAACAUGCAA